CAAAUAUUCAGCAAUGUGGGUGCCCGACCCCCGGAUGGGAGGGCAUAAAGGCGAAGCCGGUUCAAGUCCGGCGCUGUCCCGCAACUGUAAUCCGCCUCUGCGGAGAGCCAGGACGACCGCCCAGAUUGCGACCACAAU
Molecule: non-coding RNA, 138 nt
Filed under: Anaerolineae bacterium
Lineage: Bacteria; Bacillati; Chloroflexota; Anaerolineae
Source: RNAcentral